RNA transcript from Lucilia cuprina (Australian sheep blowfly), 1447 nucleotides. It is a transcript of the gene named THO complex subunit 6, with no coding region annotated. The transcript is spliced from 4 exons. The record is from RefSeq and is a predicted model, not a curated record. Lineage: Eukaryota; Metazoa; Arthropoda; Insecta; Diptera; Calliphoridae.
AGCAGAAAACAUAGCCGCUUAUAACCGAUUUGAAACCACCGCCGUUGCUGAUAGUGUUUGUCACCGCAAGUUUUUGUUUGCUGGUCGGUUUGUUUGCAGUUUAUUUUUCGAUUUUUAUAUUGUUAUUAUUAAUAAGAAAUUAAUAAAAUAUAGUGUAAAAAUGUCUCCACUUACCUCACUACGAGAUCCACAUUUCGAUUACAAAAUAAAACGCUUCUACAAUUGUGUUCUGGCCCAAACUAUAUCGAGUUCUGGCAAGUUUUUGUUUGCCGGUAAUAGAGAUGGUGACAUAUUUGUACAAAAAUUAAACAAUUUACAAGAUUCCGAAGAACCUCAUGAUCCUCUAAAGAUUUACAGUCAAGGUGAUGAAGUGGAAAUAAAUUGUUUAUGUUUCCAUCGUGAUUUUUUGAUAGUCGGCUCUAUUGGUGUAGUUUAUGGUCUCAAAUGGUUGGAGGAAAAAGGUGAGCUGGUGAAUAAAAGAUCAUGGGAAAUAAAAAUACCCAUAGAGGCAGAUGCUAUAGAGGUGCCCGAUGUCAAUUACAUGUGGUUGAGGCCGGACACGGAUUCCUUGUUUGUGGGCUGUGGUGAUAAUGUUAUUUACGAAAUUACCUUGGAAGAUGGACGCAUAGUAAGAGACUUUAAGGGUCAUGAAGAUUAUAUACAUGGUGUUUGUGGUUUUGGCGACAAUAAACUAUAUUCCGCCUCUGAAGAUGGUUCAGUGCGUUUUUGGGCCACAAAUGAAAAAGAAAGUGUUGGCCUUAUAAAACCCUAUGAAAAAGAGAAUUUAUGUCGUCCUGAAAUGGGCAAAUGGCAAGGAGCUUUAGCAGUUAACCAAGACUGGUUGGUAUGUGGUGGUGGUCCCAAAUUAUCACUAUGGCAUUUACGUACUAUGGAAUGUACCAAUGACUUUCCAUUUUCGGCAAAAGUUCAUGUAUGCGACUUUGUGGAGGAUAUGAUUUUUGUGGGUGGCGAAAGUACAAAUGCUCAAUUUUAUGCCAUGAAUGGUAAACUAAGAGCUGACAUCAAGACUGAGAAUACUGCAGUAUAUUCUGCCGUCUGGCAAUUGGAACCACAACGUUUCAUGUCUAUUGCGGGUUUUAGCAAUUGGCUAUCGCUUCUCAAUGAUUUUCGAUUUUUGGAUAGUAAAAUUGAGUUGUAUACUUCGAAAGAAAGUUCGGAAAGCAGCAAUGAUAAGAAAUAUAAUUAAAUUGCGAAAAAAUUGCAGAAAUUCCUGUAAAGGAAUAUUUAGCAAAACGAUCAUUGUAUUGUACUCAAUAAAUUGAAAAUUGUUAAAAGUUUAUAACUUUGAAAUUCAAGAAACUUUUAUUUACAAUUCAAGAUUACAAAAUUGCUGAUUAGAAUUUAAACAAUCAAGAUUAGCAAAGAUUAACUUUAUUAAUAAAAAACACACAAAUCUUUUAUUGAACAAUAUUUCCACAUUUGUCUU